GAUGAACGCUAGCGGCAGGCUUAAUACAUGCAAGUCGAGGGGCAGCAGUUUUGUAGCAAUACAGAAGCUGGCGACCGGCAAACGGGUGCGGAACACGUACGCAACCUUCCUUUAACUGGAAGAUAGCUCACCGAAAGGUGGAUUAAUACUCCAUAACAUAUUGAAGAGGCAUCUCUUUGAUAUUAAAGCCACGGCGGUUAAAGAUGGGCGUGCGUCUGAUUAGGUAGUUGGCGGGGUAACGGCCCACCAAGCCUUCGAUCAGUAGCUGCUGUGAGACCAUGAGCAGCCAACCGGGCACUGAAACACGGGCCCGACUCCUACGGGAGGCAGCAGUAAGGAAUAUUGGUCAAGGGACACAAGUCUGAACCAGCCAUGCCGCGUGGAGGAUGAAGGCCCUCUGGGUUGUAGACAUCUUUUCUUUGGGUCGAAACCCCUGUUUCUACGGGGACUGACGGUACCAGAGGAAUAAGCACCGGCUAACUCCGUGCCAGCAGCCGCGGUAA
This 503-nucleotide ribosomal RNA is filed under the name uncultured bacterium. RNAcentral's name for it is "partial 16S ribosomal RNA". It matches the Rfam family "Bacterial small subunit ribosomal RNA", at positions 28 to 523 of the family's 1533-position model. The record is from RNAcentral.